This 711-nucleotide ribosomal RNA is filed under the name Triatoma vandae. RNAcentral describes it as "SSU rRNA". It matches the Rfam family "Eukaryotic small subunit ribosomal RNA", at positions 500 to 1125 of the family's 1831-position model. The record is from RNAcentral. Lineage: Eukaryota; Metazoa; Arthropoda; Insecta; Hemiptera; Reduviidae.
GCCCCGUAAUCGGAAUGAGUACACUUUAAAUCCUUUAACAAGGAUCCAUUGGAGGGCAAGUCUGGUGCCAGCAGCCGCGGUAAUUCCAGCUCCAAUAGCGUAUAUUAAAGUUGUUGCGGUUAAAAAGCUCGUAGUUGGUUCUGCGUGCCGCGCUGUCGGUUCGCCGCCUGUCGGUGUAACUGGCAUGUCGCGGCAUGUCCUGUCGGUGGUGAACGGAGUCCACGACGCUACAUGGGCUUUAUAGUCGAUGUUAGCAUCGUGUGUACUUCCGUUGGCCGAUCUCUCCUACUUCGGUGCUCUUAAACGAGUGUCGAGGUAGGCCGACACGUUCACUUUGAACAAAUUAGAGUGCUUAAAGCAGGCUGAAAUAUCUGCCUGAAUAGUGGUGCAUGGAAUGAUAAAACAGGACCUCGGUUCUAUUUUGUUGGUUUUAGGAAUAUGAGGUAAUGAUCAAUGUGGACUGGCGGGGGCAUUCGUAUUGCGACGUUAGAGGUGAAAUUCUUGGAUCGUCGCAAGACGCACUAGAGCGAAAGCAUUUGCCAAGUAUGUCUUAAUUGAUCAAGAACGAAAGUUAGAGGUUCGAAGGCGAUCAGAUACCGCCCUAGUUCUAACCAUAAACGAUGCCAGCCAGCGAUCCGCCGAUGUUCCUUUAAUGACUCGGCGGGGAGCUUCCACCCGGGAAACCAAAGCUUUUGGGUUCCGGGGGAAGUA